This 1900-nucleotide long non-coding RNA is filed under the name Marmota monax (woodchuck). The record is from RNAcentral. Lineage: Eukaryota; Metazoa; Chordata; Mammalia; Rodentia; Sciuridae.
AUUUGGGUGGUUUUUAGGUUAGAUUAGCUAAAGAAAUAAUUUCUCUGUCAAUUUAAAAAUGCUGACCAUCUACUGUGUGCUCAAAGUUCAGUAACACAUUUUUAUAAAUUCUAUUCUAAUUGUCUUACCCUUCUUUUUUCUACAGUCUACUCAGACCCAUAUAAACUAACCUGCAAUGCCAUGCUCUGCUGUCAUGUUUACUGUAACAACAAACUGCUGAGUGGGAGGAGCACAUGAGUAAUUUCUCUUUAUACUACAUACAGACUGUGAUUGCUAAAGUGGAGUAAUGCAGAAGAUUUCUCUAAUGACCCUCUUAGGUUUGAUGGCAGUGUUAAGAAUGAAGUAAAUGAAUUCUCAAAGUAACUUUCCCGGUAUUUGUUUAUGCUGUUCCUGGCCUGUUGCUACUCUCACUGCUCUGUUUCAACAAUAUGAAGGGUUAAUUUCACUUGGAUAUUAUUUUUCUGAAUCGACUGAAGCUUUUUUUCUUUCAUCUAAAAUGAAUACCAUAAGGUUUUGAUUUUUCUCUUUGUUCUUCAGACCAUCUCUCAGCUCAUUAGCAGGUGAAUCAAAACACUUUUACUUGUCACCUAUUAAUAACUCACGUGAGAGUUUUGGGAAAAGUAGAAACUGCAUUCAAGGUUAUUUUUUUCCCCUAGUGUUGAAGAAUAAGAUGACAAGGAUUUCAAUUUGCACUCUUUAAAAAUUCUUUGCCAACUAUUUCAGCUACCAAUUCUAAAAAAUAAACCAAGCAAUACAUUUAUUGCAUUUAUUUCCCCACACAGAUUCUGAAGGAACUGCUAAGAUAGUAAAAGCAGGGAAGAGCAGGGUGAUUAUUUGCUAUGCCAAGUACUACACUAGGUGUUGUUAGUCAAAAAAAAUGCUGGUUUUAAUAGUCUUUGUCCCAGCUUGCUUCUGAAUGACCUCUAUAUUAAGUAGAGAAAAAAAUGGUUUGGAGGUAAGGUGCCAAAGAGAAAUAAAUCCCUGUGUACUAACAAUGGCUCUUGUGUGGCAAUUUUGAACAUUCAGUAAAUACUAUGAUUUCCCUACUUUCUCAAUCUACUUCCAAUUCCUUCUUUCUCUCCUUUCAAUGACCCUUUAAAAUCAUUGAGGAGGAGAGUUAUAAAUUAAAGAAUAUAUGGGAAUUAUUUCUAAGACUUUACUUUUAAAUGUUAUUUGACUCCAAGACAGAACGAAGGAGGUGGAGGUGGGUAAAUGAGGAAACCUCAGAGCAGCUAAGCUAGGACUGAAUUAAGAUCAGGGACAUAUGUUGAAUUUAAUUUACUUAAAACUUUACUACUUUCCUUUUCUGUGUUCUAUAGACAGCUCAGACCCAUAACAAUGUAACUUCCUGUACAUGUUUGGGCCCUUCCCUUAUUCUUUAAUUCAGAAAUGAGGUUGCCACUCACUUCCAAUUGUUGAUGAUGGCAACCAGACUUCUGAUGUAUACCGAUGAAGCUGGAACUAAGAAGUCUAGUUCCAUUGUGACUCCAGAUCCUUUUCGUGAAACCUGAUUCAUCUCUCCUAAAGGUUUGAUGUCUUCUCUUUUUUGCUAUUUACACUUUCUUCAUUAAUUCUGGUGGAUACUCAGUGGGCAUUUUAAUUUGAGACUCAGCUUAUAUCCUUCAGUUUUGUAAAAUUCUAUUGAUUUAUUCCUUUUAGAGUGUUAUGCCUUUUAUUUUUUUUUUCUGUGCAGUCCUUUUUUGGAACUCCUUUGGGUUGGAUAUUUGAUUACCAGAAUUAAAUCUCAAAUUUUAAUUUCUCCUCUGUCUUCUAUCUCUAUUACAACUAUUUCUUAUGCUCUAAUUUUUUGGAGAUUUCUUGAUUUUGUCUUUUGAGCCAUCCAUUAAACCAGUACAUGUUUAGCUAUCAUAGUCCUUAGAUCUCUGCAUAUUUUUUGGUU